GGAUUAGAUACCCUGGUAGUCCACGCCCUAAACGAUGAGAACUAGAUGUUGGGAAAAUUAUAUUUUUUUAGUAUCGUAGCUAACGCGAUAAGUUCUCCGCCUGGGGAGUACGACCGCAAGGUUAAAACUCAAAUGAAUUGACGGGGGCCCGCACAAGCGGUGGAGCAUGUGGUUUAAUUCGAUGCAACGCGAAGAACCUUACCUGGCAUUGACAUCCUUAGAACUCCACAGAAAUGAGGAGGUACCUUUGGGAACUGAGAGACAGGUGCUGCAUGGCUGUCGUCAGCUCGUGCUG
This 295-nucleotide ribosomal RNA is filed under the name uncultured bacterium. Its description in RNAcentral is "partial 16S ribosomal RNA". It matches the Rfam family "Bacterial small subunit ribosomal RNA", at positions 775 to 1067 of the family's 1533-position model. The record is from RNAcentral.